GGCUAGCAAAGUUGUUAGGAGCUAAGUAAUGUUUUGAGGUUGUGAAAAAUCCCUUGUAGAUUUCAAAGAGAAGGAGUUAAUGUUCUUAGGAUCUUUUGGUGAGAGAUGUGAGUUGGGUUUGGCAUUUGAGAAUGAUUGUGUAAUUGUAUGUUUGGGAAAAGGGUAGAACAAUGGAGAUUGAGCAUUGUAUGCAUGAGUUGAUCCCUUUCUUAGAUAUAUUAUGUGCAAUGUCAAGGCUACUUGUUUCGAGAGUAAACCACCUUAAAGAUUUUAUGUUUCGAACCUCUUGAAUCACUUGAAUAAAAG
RNAcentral lists this long non-coding RNA (306 nucleotides) under Brassica napus (rape). RNAcentral's name for it is "long non-coding RNA (BNAP_LNC015563)". The record is from RNAcentral. Lineage: Eukaryota; Viridiplantae; Streptophyta; Magnoliopsida; Brassicales; Brassicaceae.